RNAcentral lists this transfer RNA (69 nucleotides) under Probosciger aterrimus (palm cockatoo). RNAcentral describes it as "tRNA-His". It matches the Rfam family "tRNA". Rfam says of the family: Transfer RNA (tRNA) molecules are approximately 80 nucleotides in length. Their secondary structure includes four short double-helical elements and three loops (D, anti-codon, and T loops). Further hydrogen bonds mediate the characteristic L-shaped molecular structure. tRNAs have two regions of fundamental functional importance: the anti-codon, which is responsible for specific mRNA codon recognition, and the 3' end, to which the tRNAs corresponding amino acid is attached (by aminoacyl-tRNA synthetases). tRNAs cope with the degeneracy of the genetic code in two manners: having more than one tRNA (with a specific anti-codon) for a particular amino acid; and 'wobble' base-pairing, i.e. permitting non-standard base-pairing at the 3rd anti-codon position. RNAcentral also lists the same sequence under 1 other name. Lineage: Eukaryota; Metazoa; Chordata; Aves; Psittaciformes; Cacatuidae. The record is from RNAcentral.
GCAAGUAUAGUUUAAAUCAAACAUUAGACCGUGACCCUAAAAAUAGAAGUUAGACCCUUCUUACCUGCC